RNAcentral lists this ribosomal RNA (555 nucleotides) under uncultured bacterium. RNAcentral's name for it is "bacterial SSU rRNA". It matches the Rfam family "Bacterial small subunit ribosomal RNA", at positions 9 to 563 of the family's 1533-position model. The record is from RNAcentral.
GAGUUUGAUCAUGGCUCAGAUUGAACGCUGGCGGCAGGCCUAACACAUGCAAGUCGAGCGGUAGAGAGAAGCUUGCUUCUCUUGAGAGCGGCGGACGGGUGAGUAAUGCCUAGGAAUCUGCCUGGUAGUGGGGGAUAACGUUCGGAAACGGACGCUAAUACCGCAUACGUCCUACGGGAGAAAGCAGGGGACCUUCGGGCCUUGCGCUAUCAGAUGAGCCUAGGUCGGAUUGGCUAGUUGGUGAGGUAAUGGCUCACCAAGGCGACGAUCCGUAACUGGUCUGAGAGGAUGAUCAGUCACACUGGAACUGAGACACGGUCCAGACUCCUACGGGAGGCAGCAGUGGGGAAUAUUGGACAAUGGGCGAAAGCCUGAUCCAGCCAUGCCGCGUGUGUGAAGAAGGUCUUCGGAUUGUAAAGCACUUUAAGUUGGGAGGAAGGGCAGUUACCUAAUACGUGAUUGUUUUGACGUUACCGACAGAAUAAGCACCGGCUAACUCUGUGCCAGCAGCCGCGGUAUACAGAGGUGCAAGCGUUAUCGGAAUACUGGGCGUAA